This 250-nucleotide ribosomal RNA is filed under the name uncultured bacterium. Its description in RNAcentral is "partial 16S ribosomal RNA". It matches the Rfam family "Bacterial small subunit ribosomal RNA", at positions 524 to 773 of the family's 1533-position model. The record is from RNAcentral.
UACGGAGGGUGCAAGCGUUAUCCGGAUUCACUGGGUUUAAAGGGUGUGUAGGCGGGUGUUUAAGUCAGUGGUGAAAUCUCCAGGCUCAACCUGGAAACUGCCAUUGAUACUAUUCAUCUUGAAUUCUGUUGAGGUGGGCGGAAUAUAUCAUGUAGCGGUGAAAUGCUUAGAUAUGAUAUAGAACACCGAUUGCGAAGGCAGCUCACUAAACAGCGAUUGACGCUGAGGCACGAAAGCGUGGGGAUCAAAC